Molecule: non-coding RNA, 730 nt
Organism: Malus domestica (apple)
Lineage: Eukaryota; Viridiplantae; Streptophyta; Magnoliopsida; Rosales; Rosaceae
Source: RefSeq, a predicted model, not a curated record
AUGGAAAAGCUAGGGCUCUUCCAUUUGCUUCCAGAACGUAUUUCUCCAGUUCUCCGCUCUCUCGCUCAAGACCCGAACCCCUGGCCUCUGCAAGUAGAUCACCAGCGAGCUGUUUUGAGGAAACAAAUCCUUUUCCUCCGAUACCAAUUUUAUCAGGCCUCGAUAAUCUUGGUGUAUCAGGCCUUGAUAAUCUUGGUGUAUCAGGCCUUGAUAAUCUUGGUGUAGGUUUUGGACGAUGGGUGCCCUAACAUUUAUUCAAACAAGAGUGACUCUUUGUGCUGCUCUUGUGCCGACCAUUCUAAAGAAAUGGAAGGAAGCAAUGCCUGUCAGGAGAAUGUGCAUUUUCCAACACCUCUAAUAUUUGGCAAAGUAGGCGUGAGGAUGUUUGAGACAUCAGAGGAAAACCAAAAUUUUAUGGCAGCUCACCUGUUAGCACAGUGGUGGAUGGAUGAUUUGGAACUUCAAACUUUCUCCCCUGAGAUCAUCAGCAGGAAGUUGACACCCGUCGCCUUAGAUCCUUAGAUCUCCAAAGUCUGAGUGACUCUAAACAAAAUUUUCUGCAAAUUUGAGAUGCUAUUUUGUAUAUUUUAGCUAGGAGCUUGCUAUUACGGCGAAGAAGUUUAUAUAGAUGCACUGAUGUAGAAAAAAAUCAAUGCCUUUCCGACGAAAUUACAAAUCCGGAAGGCAAUCUUUCCUCUUGGCAGCUGAAAGAAAACAUUUUUUCACUUGA